CCACCCUUUAACUCAGUCCAGAGAGGCUGGCAAGGGUUCAAUAGGAUAAGAGAAAUGAAUGAGAAUAAAUAUGGUGUCUCAUUUAAUCCUUCUCUUUCACUAGCGAACCUCUUAGCUGAAGCCAGGAGGUUUUUUUGAU
This is a non-coding RNA of Tepidibacillus sp., 139 nucleotides long. The record is from Rfam. Lineage: Bacteria; Bacillati; Bacillota; Bacilli; Caryophanales; Bacillaceae.